Molecule: ribosomal RNA, 212 nt
Filed under: uncultured Spirochaetaceae bacterium
Lineage: Bacteria; Pseudomonadati; Spirochaetota; Spirochaetia; Spirochaetales; Spirochaetaceae
Description: partial 16S ribosomal RNA
Rfam family: Bacterial small subunit ribosomal RNA
Source: RNAcentral
GGGGAUGACGUCAAGUCAUCAUGGCCCUUAUGUCCAGGGCUACACACGUGCUACAAUGGGUGGAGACAGAGUGACGCGAAGCCGCGAGGUGGAGCAAAUCGCAGAAAAUCAUCCGUAGUUCGGAUUGGAGUCUGAAACCCCGACUCCAUGAAGGUGGAAUCGCUAGUAAUCGCGCAUCAGCAUGGCCGCGGUCCGAAUACGUUCCGGGCCUU